This 4924-nucleotide long non-coding RNA is filed under the name Homo sapiens (human). Its description in RNAcentral is "HSALNT0163371". Lineage: Eukaryota; Metazoa; Chordata; Mammalia; Primates; Hominidae. The record is from RNAcentral.
GGAUAAUGAGCUCACAGACGCACAUUCUGUGACCUGGUGGCGGAAGGGUUGGUUUGGCCUUUGGCCUCCUGGAGUCCAGUGACUUGGAGGGGUUUCAUUUUCUCACUGACAACCAGCCAGAGACACAUGGGCUUGCAUGUCAGAGCCAAACAGAGCUGCAGAGCUCUCCUCGGCCUCUCAUGAGUCUCCUGGGCCACAUUCUCUGAAAGAAGUCUCCUGCCUGAUUUGGUAGGUCCCAGUUUAGCCUCCUUGAAGUUCCUGGACAAUGCACAGGUCUUGGCAGCCUCUCGCAAGCAGCCUUUGUUCAGGGACUGUGGACUCUCCAGCCGGAAGGUUACCCCACCUGAACAUCCUCCUGGGAGGAAGCAGGGCAUGAAUCCGAAGGAAUUAGUGAAGUCCUUCCAUAGCCAUCCUUGAUGGUGGAGCGGGGGUGUGUCUCAGCAAAAAGGGCUGAAGUAUAAGGUGCUGGGACCAGUUGUCAGUAAAGGCAGUAUGAUUCAAUGAAUCAAUUAAAUCAGGAUGGAGAAGGGAAGCAAAAAGUCCAAGCCAGAUAAGUGGAACUACCCAUGAAACUGGAGGGUGUGGUGAACAAAAGCAAAAUGAUUAGUCACAAGGUCAGGAGCAAGGUGAGUCAAGGGGAGUGGUUCAGAAAGUAGACUGUGAGGAACCUUGGGAAGUGGUGAAUGGGGGUGGCUGUGUUUUAUCUCAAGCCCCACUUCUUAGUGUAAUGGGUAUGGGGCUGUCAGCUGAACAGCUCUUAUUAGGCCACAUGCAUGGAGCCCACUGGAGGCAGUUGGCUGUGCAGCAGCUGGAAGUCUCCCCUAGGACAACUUGUUCAUUUCACCCACAGCAUUGGGAAACCUGGAUGAAGAAGAAGGUGGGAGAAGACAAGGAGGCUACCAUUUUCUCUGCAGGAAAUGGUGGUUAGCUCAAAGCAGAGGAGAAUUCAGCAGUGUAGAUGAAGCUUGAGUCUUUACAAAGUACUUUCCCAUCCUUUUCUUUUGUCCUUCUCAGUGGCCCCAGGAUGAAGAAAGGUAGCUAGAUGGAGGAUGGUUCUCCUCAUUCCGCAGAUGAUGAACUUGAAACCAGUGACAGUGAGUGAGUUUCAGGUCACAUAACUAUGUAGGGCCAGGGCUUGAUUGUAAAUCUCAUUCUAGCUGUAACUCUUUCCAUUACAAUUUACUAGUAUUCAAACGAUAUGUAAAAAAUAAGCAAAUAAUGAAACACAGCAUUUUGCAAGACAUAAGGGUAAGAUUGUAACCACGUCUCUGCAAUUCUCGUGGAGACUUUGGUAUUUGCCCUUGGCCACCUCCUUUCCUACCCUUCUGGCCCUGAUUGGGCACUGGUGAAAAGGUGUCUGUGAGCAUCUACCACACUUGCCUCCCCCAUUACACAGACUGGCAUUCUCUCUAUGGCCACAGUCCUCAGGGUAAUUAAGGUUGUGGAGUAACAGGAAAUAUUUUAUUCAGUAAGAUUGUACUCAUUUGCUUAUUCAGUUGCUGAACUAUCUUCCAGGAAUACAUCAGAAGGUUUUACCAUUCUAUUUGCCUGCCUUAGUUGGGAGAUCUGAAGGAAAUGAGUUUAAUUCACCCUUCACAUUUCUAAUUAAAACUUUUUACAUUUCAAGCUUUUUGACAGGAAAAAAAAAAGAAAAAUUCUGUGGAAGGCAGCUUCGAGAAGACAUAAUCCAUGUGUGAUUGUUUGAGAGCAAGAAGGGUUAAAAAAGGCAACAACAAAAAACCUGCUCAUUUUUGCUGCUUGCUUAAGAAAAAAACAACUCAAGCCAUCUCCAAAUGUAGUUUAAUCCAUUUUCAGACUUUAUACAUUAUGCAUCAAGAUUUUGUACAAAAGGAAUUUGAGAGGAGUGUUUGCAUGAAACCACUUCAGUGGAUUAAAUUUGCAGUUCAGCACAUUAGACUCAAAAAGUAUACAAGACAUUUUGAGAGUCCCUGACUCCUUCCUUUAUAUGCAUAGUUCCUACUUCAGGUAAAUAAGUUUUUAAGAAUGAGUGGAUUCCAGCAGCUGUCUUUAAGGGAAAAAUUAAGAAAGGAUUUGGUCUACCUUCCACUUAGCUUCACAAUGAUUGCAAAUGUUUGAAGAACAGAAAGCCUAGUUGAGAAGGUGGAUCUAAGCUGUUCUAUGGACCUCGAGAUUCUUUUAGGCAAAGCUGCCCUAUCCAAGGUGGAAAAGCUAAUGUGAAAAGACAUUCUCAAUAGAAGGAGUUCACACAGCGAUGUCAUAACUGCAAACCCCACCCACCUUCAGUUCAGAGUUGAGAUGCCACUUGCGUAGGCCACCCAGAUGGUAAGCUCAGACAGUCAUCCAGAUGUCUUUAUCUAGUGGAGGCCAAACAUCACUGAGACCACAUCUGGAUGUUUAGUGGGCCAACGACAUUUUUAUUUCCUGCUGUUUAAAUAAUAGAUUUGGGGGAUCUUGGAAACGUAGUCUUUAUUUCCUCUUACCCCAGAGUUGCUCUGCUGCAGGAACACACUUUAUGACAAUCGGGUCAAAUCAGAAGCAGCCAGAGAGCCACCCGUUUCUGGGCUGUUAAUGAUGGGAGGUCCUAAACUGACAGGCGGAGUCUGACGUCUAAACAUCAUGACUGUUAUAAACCAGGAGGUGUCCAAACAACCUAUGGAGCACCUGAAAGUUUCUAUAAUAACUUGUAUUUUUUUUUUUCAAGUGUUGAAAACUUCCUAGCAGUGUGGCUGGUUGCCUGGGCUACAGUGUUGUGUUGACAGCUCUGGUCCUUUUCCUGGCAGCCGAGGAUCUGCACAGUGACCAAUGAGAGGGGAGCAUUCUGCUCUGAACUUUCCAUUAGGCUGAUGAUUCACUUUGAAAUCCACACUUUAUGAAUGCUGUGAAUUCAAUGUAAUGUAGCUGUUGAGGUGUCUACAUUCAAAUUUGAUUCCAUUAACUUUACGGUGUGAUUAAGUGUCUGAAUCAUCAGGACUUGGGAUUGAAUUUAUGUGCCUUCUGCGAGCCCUUUUGUAGACUGGUAGUUUUGAUGAGUGUAAUUUGAUGUAUGGGAUUGGGAGAAGAAACCUAAAAAGAUAUCACCUCAAAUAUAACAAGGAUCUGAGAACCCAAAUUUGAGCGUUGAGGUGGGUGGUCACUCUCAGAUGUGCAGAGUGGAGCUACUCUUCAGCAUGCACACUUUUUUCUUUAAAGAACUUGAUUUUUGGUGUUAGAAGGGACUUAGAGGUCCCUUCUAAGGGACCUCUAAAUUUGGCUUUCAAAUUUUAAAGUACUUAACUAUUAAUUAGGGUGCUUCUUAAAAAAAAAACGCCGAUUUCAGAUCGUGCCUUCUGAUUCUGAAGGGCUGGAAUGGGAUGCAGGAAUGGAAUUAUAGACCUCCCUGGGAGAAAUGCUGACUUAGUUGUUUUGCAUUUGGGAGAGUGAUGGGCCUCAUCCAUGGCCUUCCUCACAGCUAGUGGUAAGAGAGUCAAGCCCAGAACUGGAUCUCUAUAUGUUUCCUCAGGGGUCAUUCAUCACGUACUUAGUUCAUGCUCAUGCGAAUUGACAUUUAUGACAUGGAAAUUAUCGGUAGUAAGAAAGUGAAAAGAACAUGGAGUGGCAGAGAGUGUGGCAUAUUGCAGUUUAGCAAAAAUGAGUUCUGAAAUCUCAUUUGAAAAUUUUAAGUUCUCCUUAACACAUAGGGGUUAAAUGGGAGAUGCACAAUGCUUCACAUAUUUGAGUCAAUUUUAGGCAGUUGCUAAGAUAGCAGUGUACAAAAUAUUUUUACUUUUGCAUUUCCCUUUAUAGAUUUCUUUGGACUUAAAUACACUGAAAUUUUAAUUUAAAUUCUCCAUGUAUUUAAAUUCUCCAUGUAUUUAAAUUCCAGAAUUGAUGAAAUUAAACACUUUUUCAUUAUUGCUGACAAUUUGUACUUAUUCUUUAAUUCUUUGUGAAUCAUUUUUCAGAUCCUUUGUGAACUUCUCUACUGAGUUGCUGGCUUUUUUUUUCUGGUAUUGUUUUUAAAUAGAUGUUUUUUAUUAAAGUUAUUAACUCCAUGUCUGUCAUACAAUUCCCUGAAAGUGUUUUUCUGUUUUUUGUUUUAUGUUUAUUUAUGGUUACUUUUCUUUUAUAUGGAGCAGUUUAAAAUUUUUCUACAGAAACAUUAAAAUCCUUUUUUCUGUUCUCUGUGAUGAUGUUUCAUCAGUUUUAUUUGUUAAAGCUCUCCCUAUUACAAGAUCAGGAAAAUAAUUACUUAUACUUUUUUAUAGCUAUUUUGUAGUUCUAAUAUUUACUGCUUUCACUUGUUGGUAUGCUUUAUAAAAUAUAACAUACAAAAUAUAAAUAUAUAACAUAUAAACAUUAUUCCUCAAAUAGUUGUCCUAGCAUCAUUUCCUGUAUAUUACUUUCUAAUUGGUUUGUAAAAUACAUGAUAACUACCAUUUAUUAUAUACUUAGGUACAGUGCUAAAUAUAUUUAAUGAAUUGUUCAUUUUAAUGCAUAUAUAUUUUAUUUGCUUCUUACAACAACAUUCUAGCAGUUAUUUUAAAUCCCCUUUUACAGAUGAGCAAACAGAGGCUUAGAUAGCUCAAGUUGCUUAUCUAUUAAGAGGCAGAGCUGAGGGGUAACCUCAGGAUAGAGUGACUCCAAAACCCACAGACUCAGUCACCCAAAUCAGUUUUACCAUAAAACAAAUUCUUAGUGUUAAGGUCAUUUUAGGGUUUUGUAUUCUGUUUCAUUAACUGGGUUUCUAUUUUUUGCACUAAUAUCAUACUUUUAAGUAUUUUAGCUUUAUAAUGUUUUUAAAACUGAAAGUGUCACACCUUAUUACUCUUCAGCUUUUCAAAUAUUGAGCUCUCACUGGUUCAAUAUUCAUGUUCACCUCAGUCUAACAUCAGCAAAUACAAAAAUACUUCCUGAGAUUUUCAAUGGAGUUACUUUUAAAACUUGACAUCUUUCCUAUAUUUAA